GGCUCGUUGAUGUACGGGUAUGAUUCUCGCUAUGGGUGUGAGAGGUCCUGGGUUCAAACCCCGGAGGAGCCC
RNAcentral lists this transfer RNA (72 nucleotides) under Danionella cerebrum. RNAcentral's name for it is "tRNA-Pro". Lineage: Eukaryota; Metazoa; Chordata; Actinopteri; Cypriniformes; Danionidae. The record is from RNAcentral.